RNAcentral lists this long non-coding RNA (2440 nucleotides) under Homo sapiens (human). Its description in RNAcentral is "HSALNT0048369". Lineage: Eukaryota; Metazoa; Chordata; Mammalia; Primates; Hominidae. The record is from RNAcentral.
GCUCCGUCUAGGACUGAGGACACAGAAGCACUGAUCGUUCUAAAGCCACACUUUCUGUUCAAGUCCAAACAUAAACUUCUUUUGUUUCCAUAAAGAAGGCGGUAGCAUUCUAAGAUACACAGAGGAGCAAGGAAUCCCAUCAUAUCCAUGUUAUUUCCUAACUGCGUAUAUUGAAAAUAAUGAAAUAGAAGAAAAGUGAAAGCUCAAGUUCACCAGAAUGCUCAUGGGACCUGUAAUUACAGUGACUCAUCCCUAAAAAAGUUAUUGUGAGUAGUCACUGUUCCUACGAUAAUGCAAUGGUUUUGCUUAUAAAAUUUCCCUGAAGUUAAACCAACUUAGAGGUGGUGAGUUUGGAUGCAGAAAUUAUUACAUCAGGAUGAUAGAAAUCAUAUAGGCAAUUGCAAAAUUGUCUUUCUGAAGAGGGAGAAUAAACUAGAAUGGUUAUGGAAGGAAAAUCCCUCAAGAACAGCAGAGGAUCAAGAACCCAUGGGGGGGAGGCUUCUCAUAUAUUCAUUUCACACACUACUCCAUCCUCUGAUGCAGUCAGACACAGUCUGCUGAACACAAUUUCCACCCAAUGAUUAGAAAAUGCAGUCCCAUCAAAAGCACAUCUGCCCCAACAUCCUCUGUUAUAAUUUGCUAGCACUGGGUGCCACCUCUUGCAUUCUGAAAGCACCGACCCUUUCCUGCUCCCCAAGCUGCAGAGACACUGAUGUUUUUUCCCUCGAAAGAGGAAAUGUGUUUCACUUUUUUAUACCCACAUGUUGGAGUGGAUUAAAAACAAUAUUAUUUGAUCCUCUGCUCAAUGUCUGAGGCUCAGGAUUACAUGGUUUUAAGUUAAUGCGGUGGUUCUCAAUGCUGGCUGCACAAUAAAACAUCCGAGGAGCUUUUAAAAAUAUUGAAGCCUAGACUGCACCAUGGACAAAUUACAUCAGAACUUUUGGGCAUCUGUGUUAUAUUACACUGCCCCUUGGUGAUUCAAAUGUGCAGCCAGCUUGAGAGAUACUAAGCGAAAAGAAACUUUUCUGUUCUCUUUGAGAUUUCUGAAAACAUUCUAAAAGAAUCACCAAAUAAGAAAAUCUCAAAAUAAGAUAAAGAAGCUAUCAUAUUAUUUUGGUCCAAAUUUGUGGAUUUUAUUUUUGGUACGUACACAAUCUGUGUUUCUGCAGAAAUGCAGAAUCAUAUCCAUCCUUGCUCCGCCAGAGGUCCAACGACACACAUCUUUACUGUCUCAUUUGAAAAAGACUGUUCACCUUUCUUCAUCCCAGAUCAUCAACCAUUGCUAAGCCAUAUACGCAUCGACUCCCUUUUUUCUGACCUCAGAACUCCCACAGGCCUUGUGCACCUCUGCUAUUCUUAGGCAACGAGAGCCCUCCUGCAGUAGGAAACACCUAUUCCACUCAGUUCUGUUUAAACUCAAUCUUUUUCAUGUUUCAAGUUCCUCCUGAUACAAACCUGACUCCAAAUCCCCCAGCGCAGAUGAACUUACACUGAGCAUUAGAAGCAAUCUCCUAAAAUUAAUUCCCAAUGGGUCAGUGACUGAUAGCCCGUUAAAGCGUGUGAGGGUAGCUGCAUUCUCCAGUGUUGAAUGCCUAUCAACCUAAAUGAACUGGUGUUUCAUGACAUUUCAGGGGCUAGAAGAGUUGAAUUGAGAAAUCCGUCCAUUUGGGCAGAGCUUUUAGUAAAACUAAAAGUAUUCAGCCCAGCCGGGUGGGUGGACCAGCCUUUUCUUCUAGUUUUAUUGCCAUCUACUCUUACCUCUCACAGUUUCCUUUAUUCUAGUUUCACCAAUUAAAAAAAAAAAACCUCUAAAAUUUUAUCUAUGGCAGAAGAAUCUGGUUAUUUAGAUUUUUUGUAAUUAGCUCAUUGUAAAUUAAAGACUGGCUCUCUACACUAGACUCUGCAACACAUCUCUGACUUCUGCUUUACCUCAGUAUAUAUUAAAACUAAGCCAAGUGUGAAUGUGACAAUCUAAGCAAUUAAAAGGCAAUCAACAUGAUUAGAAGGUUCCUUGGGUUUUCCCUAGUAAGAUAGAGUAGUGGGCCUUAUAUGUAGGGGCAAAGCCAGCUUCCUGCUCUGUCCUUUCUAUCUGUGUGACUCAAGGCAAGUUUCCCUAACUCUUCUUUCAACCAUUUGCUCUUUGACACAUUUAGAAAUACCGGUAUAUUUCCUGCCAGCUUCUUGUUAAGACUAAAAAACACGACAUACAAAACUUUCUGUAGAAAGUUCUACAGAAGUUGGUUCCCUUCCUUCCAACUCCAGACCUAAGGAUAAGGAGUAUGCGUGGGAAAGAAGCAGACAUCCUCAUUCAAAACCCUCAUCAAAAUGGAACUGUAAGGUAGCAUAACUACUGUUGCUAUAAAUGGGGCUUGAGGCAGGAAUAUGCCUCUUCUGCUUUGCUUAGCACAUUUUUCUGGCUUAUUUGGAGCAGGAAGGUAUA